Long non-coding RNA from Oreochromis aureus, 1317 nucleotides. The record is from Ensembl. Lineage: Eukaryota; Metazoa; Chordata; Actinopteri; Cichliformes; Cichlidae.
ACAGUGUACACUUUAGUAGACCAAAAUAAAAUAAUAUCUAAUAAUUAUAAUAAAAUAACCCAUUUAUACGCUAAUUGUGCCGCACACAGGAAUGAUAUUACAUAGGCAUAACUAUUUAGGAUACAAUGACCAAAGUAGUUGAGAGUUAACUUCAAUAACAUUUAAAUUCAAGCAUUUAAAUUUCUCUUUGCCAGGUGUACCAUACUUUUUCAUUGUGUAUCUGUACUUGGCUAAUCUGAAACGACGUCAGGUUCUGUUAGAAAUGCACGUAUGCUCUCAGGAAUUGACCCGUAGCAUGUUGCAGAUAAACAUUAUACUGGAAUUCAGUCAAAAACAUGCUGAAUAAUAGUGCACACGUUGAAUAUAUAGUGUACAAUAAGGGAUUUCAGUUGCAGCAUUAUGAUGAGGAAGGUUAAUAUCUAAACAGCGUUAUUGACAUAAGCAAGUUAGCAUGCUAAUGUUAGCAUCCAGCUCACAGCACUGCUCCUCACAGACUUUUGUAGGGCAAAAGAAAUUUGAUGAAUUUGGCCAAAAACUAAAAGUUGUGAUAUUUUAUUUACCUUUUAAUUUGGUUAUUGUCAAAAAACAACAAUAAAAACAGCAACAAAAACCUACAAAACAAACAUUAGCUUGUUUUUUUGAGGGAGCAUUUAGCCACAUUUGACAUCUGCUGACCUGACAAACUUUUUGUAGUUAAAACAAAUCCAUGUCUUCAUGACUUCAACAUGGCCACAUGCCCAGGAUUGCCGACAGCUGUGGAAGCCACAUAAGUGCACUUUUUUUUUUUUAACUCGUAUUUGAUAUUUGGACCCAAAGAUGUUAACAUUUCUAUACUUAGCAUCAGAUGAGGUCAGUCAAGAGGGCAUAAUCAGGUGAUGGACUUGGCAGGGAGGGAAAAAAUCCACAUUUUAGCGCUAAAACACUGCUAUGUUUAAGCUCACAGAACUGCAUGGUCAUCAAAUUAGAGGGACUGUGUGUAAAAAUAACUUAUGUUUCUAUGUUGGUCAGGCAAAUUGGAUGUGAACACCCUCCACUGCUUUGACUCAGCACUUUAACCUCAUGGCCAUUGCUUCAUUUCUUUUCCACUGCGCUGGAGUACAGAUCUAAAACAGUGAAAAGCAUCUCCCUGGACAAAUAUUUAUAGGCUCUACUGCAGCUUUACGGGACAUUAGGAGGAAGAAGCCAGAGAAAAGAACAAAAUCACACCCGUGGCAGAGACAGCAGUACUUUAUUUUUAAGGUGGGACUGCUGCAGAUGACACGGAGAAGCUGUAGAUAGUGGUCACUUACACAAUGAUUAUCCAUUCAUUGGGCUCUA